ACCGCCCGUCACACCAUGGGAGUGGGUUGCAAAAGAAGUAGGUAGCUUAACCUUCGGGAGGGCGCUUACCACUUUGUGAUUCAUGACUGGGGUGAAGUCGUAACAAGGUAACCGUAGGGGAACCUGCGGUUGGAUCACCUCCUUACCUUAAAGA
RNAcentral lists this ribosomal RNA (154 nucleotides) under Klebsiella quasipneumoniae subsp. quasipneumoniae. RNAcentral's name for it is "partial 16S ribosomal RNA". It matches the Rfam family "Bacterial small subunit ribosomal RNA", at positions 1388 to 1533 of the family's 1533-position model. Lineage: Bacteria; Pseudomonadati; Pseudomonadota; Gammaproteobacteria; Enterobacterales; Enterobacteriaceae. The record is from RNAcentral.